This 429-nucleotide ribosomal RNA is filed under the name Gemmatimonadota bacterium. Its description in RNAcentral is "Gemmatimonadetes bacterium partial 16S ribosomal RNA". It matches the Rfam family "Bacterial small subunit ribosomal RNA", at positions 355 to 776 of the family's 1533-position model. Lineage: Bacteria; Pseudomonadati; Gemmatimonadota. The record is from RNAcentral.
UAGGGAAUCUUCGGCAAUGGACGAAAGUCUGACCGAGCAACGCCGCGUGAGUGAAGAAGGUUUUCGGAUCGUAAAACUCUGUUGUUAGAGAAGAACAAGGACGUUAGUAACUGAACGUCCCCUGACGGUAUCUAACCAGAAAGCCACGGCUAACUACGUGCCAGCAGCCGCGGUAAUACGUAGGUGGCAAGCGUUGUCCGGAUUUAUUGGGCGUAAAGCGAGCGCAGGCGGUUUCUUAAGUCUGAUGUGAAAGCCCCCGGCUCAACCGGGGAGGGUCAUUGGAAACUGGGAGACUUGAGUGCAGAAGAGGAGAGUGGAAUUCCAGGGGUAGCGGUGAAAUGCGUAGAUAUAUGGAGGAACACCAGUGGCGAAGGCGGCUCUCUGGUCUGUAACUGACGCUGAGGCUCGAAAGCGUGGGGAGCAAACAGG